GACCUACGGGUGGCUGCAGUGGGGAAUUUUACGCAAUGGGGGAAACCCUGACGUAGCGACACCGCGUGAUCGAAGAAGCCUUUUGGGGUGUAAAGUUCUGUCAGCAGGAACGAAAUAAAUGACGGUACCUGCAGAGGAAGCAUCGGCUAACUACGUGCCAGCAGCCGCGGUAAGACGUAGGAUGCGAGCGUUGUCCGGAUUCAUUGGGCGUAAGGAGUUCGUAGGCGGUUCAUUAAGUCUGGUGUUAAAGACUGGGGCUCAACCCUGGAAGAGCACUGGAUACUGGUGGGCUGGAGUGUGGUAGAGGCAAGCGGAAUUCCUGGUGUAGCGGUGAAAUGCGUAGAUAUCAGGAAGAACACCGGUGGCGUAAGCGGCUUGCUGGGCCAUAACUGACGCUGAGGAACGAAAGCUAGGGUAGCGAAUGGGAUUAGAUACCCUUGUAGUCA
This 446-nucleotide ribosomal RNA is filed under the name uncultured bacterium. Its description in RNAcentral is "bacterial SSU rRNA". It matches the Rfam family "Bacterial small subunit ribosomal RNA", at positions 335 to 796 of the family's 1533-position model. The record is from RNAcentral.